UACAGAUCAAAAAGAUCAAGCUUGGUACCAAAUAGAGCAAUCACUAGAAGAGACAGAUAAUCUGAACGCCCUAUUUUGGGCAACAAGAAAGGAGAAAAAUAAGAGCAAACCAGUAUGUUCAGGAAAUUCGAUUAUUAUUGACAAUAUCUUGAGAUACUGGAAUAAAAUUAAGAAAGACUGUAAAAUAGAAUAUAGAUUGUUUCCAUUCUUACCCAUAGAGGUGAUUAAGGGGAAUAUUGAGGAUAUUAAUAUCAGCGGAUGGUCACAGAAGGGAAUUAAGAAUAUCCAAGAGAUUAUAGAUAGAAAGGAAAUCAAGCCAUUCAACCAGCUACAAACAGAGUUUGGGAUUGAUAACAAG
Non-coding RNA from Pelobates cultripes (western spadefoot toad), 358 nucleotides. The record is from the annotation of a GenBank genome assembly. Lineage: Eukaryota; Metazoa; Chordata; Amphibia; Anura; Pelobatidae.